RNAcentral lists this ribosomal RNA (601 nucleotides) under Fusarium poae. RNAcentral describes it as "SSU rRNA". It matches the Rfam family "Eukaryotic small subunit ribosomal RNA", at positions 634 to 1241 of the family's 1831-position model. Lineage: Eukaryota; Fungi; Ascomycota; Sordariomycetes; Hypocreales; Nectriaceae. The record is from RNAcentral. RNAcentral also lists the same sequence under 2 other names.
UUGAACCUUGGGCCUGGCUGGCCGGUCCGCCUCACCGCGUGUACUGGUCCGGCCGGGCCUUUCCCUCUGUGGAACCCCAUGCCCUUCACUGGGCGUGGCGGGGAAACAGGACUUUUACUGUGAAAAAAUUAGAGUGCUCCAGGCAGGCCUAUGCUCGAAUACAUUAGCAUGGAAUAAUAGAAUAGGACGUGUGGUUCUAUUUUGUUGGUUUCUAGGACCGCCGUAAUGAUUAAUAGGGACAGUCGGGGGCAUCAGUAUUCAAUUGUCAGAGGUGAAAUUCUUGGAUUUAUUGAAGACUAACUACUGCGAAAGCAUUUGCCAAGGAUGUUUUCAUUAAUCAGGAACGAAAGUUAGGGGAUCGAAGACGAUCAGAUACCGUCGUAGUCUUAACCAUAAACUAUGCCGACUAGGGAUCGGACGGUGUUAUUUUUUGACCCGUUCGGCACCUUACGAGAAAUCAAAGUGCUUGGGCUCCAGGGGGAGUAUGGUCGCAAGGCUGAAACUUAAAGAAAUUGACGGAAGGGCACCACCAGGGGUGGAGCCUGCGGCUUAAUUUGACUCAACACGGGGAAACUCACCAGGUCCAGACACAAUAAGGAUU